This 349-nucleotide unclassified non-coding RNA is filed under the name soil metagenome. RNAcentral's name for it is "partial contains 5.8S ribosomal RNA, internal transcribed spacer 2, and large subunit ribosomal RNA". The stretch from base 1 to 120 matches the Rfam family "5.8S ribosomal RNA", at positions 35 to 154 of the family's 154-position model. The record is from RNAcentral.
GAUGAAGAACGUAGUGAAAUGCGAUAACUAAUGUGAAUUGCAUAAUUCAGUGAAUCAUCGAGUCUUUGAACGCACAUUGCGCCCCCUGGUAUUCCGGGGGGCAUGCCUGUCCGAGCGUCAUUGCUGCCCUCAAGCCCGGCUUGUGUGUUGGGUCGCCGUCCCCCUCUCCGGGGGGACGGGCCCGAAAGGCAGCGGCGGCACCGCGUCCGAUCCUCGAGCGUAUGGGGCUUUGUCACAUGCUCUGUAGGAUUGGCCGGCGCCUGCCGACGUUUUCCAACCAUUUUUUCCAGGUUGACCUCGGAUCAGGUAGGGAUACCCGCUGAACUUAAGCAUAUCAAUAAGCGGAGGA